CAGCCGGCAUUGCCGUCGUGUUAUUGGUGACGUAGCGUCGCGGACAUCUCUCGUUCUCGUGCUGCCAAGGACGAUUGUCGCAGGCUUUUCCAUCAAUAAAGAACACGAGAGUGAAUCCCAUACAAAACUCAUCUCGGCACCACCGCUUUUUUUUUCCUUUUCGUAGCGCUGACCAGUCGGCUCCGCUGUCGCGUGCCGUGCAGCACUGGCUCAUUGCGACUUUGCACCCUUUGAGCAAGGCCAAUGGCAUCGUCGUCGCCUCAAGUCAAGAUGGACAGCGCUAUCCGCGCUACUGAUGAGUAUGCUGCCGCCUUCGACCUUGAAGUGUGGAAGGCGCAACAGCAGCUCCGAUACCAGGCACAGCUGCGCCAGGCGAAGGAGCGGCUGGAACGCCGCCUGCACAAGGAGGCACGAGAGUCGGAGAAGAAAAAGAUGGCGGAGCUGGAGCGGCUUCGCCAAGAGCUAGAGACGAUGGGGCACCGCCUACAGGUGGCCAGUGAGACAUUGGAAAAGCGCACCGCUCAACUGGAUGCUCGCGAGGCUGCUUUCAAUGUGAAACGAGUGAAAGUGGCAGAGCAGCAUGAGGCGUACGUCGCCCGCGCUGAAGAGCAGGCGCGCCGCACCCGUGAGGAGGCCCAGCUUGCCCAAUCCAGCCUUCAAGCAAGAUUGCAAGAGAAGGACCGCAUCAUUUUGCAGCUGCAGGAGCGAGUAAGCUCGGCGCAGCAAGAGUACGAUCUGCUCCGGCGACGCGCGACGCGUUACCUAUCUGAGCAGAACGACACAGACGGUCAGCGACUUCGGGAGCAGGAGUGCGCGCUGAGUCUUUCGCAGACACAGCUGGCGGAGGCGCAGCGCCAGCUGCGAGAGAAAAGCGCGGAUGUGGCUCGCCUGGCAGAGUCGCAGGCAAGCUUAGAGCAGCAGCUGCACGAGCUCAAGCGGCAGCUCUCAAUCGUCAUGCGCAAAUACCAUCGUCUUCGAGAGGAGUGCCAGGCGCGCGAGUGGGAGCGUCUGCGCAAGGAACAGGGGGCUCUGAGCCCAACGAAGCGAAGACAGUCCCUACAUGCGCAUCGGCUACAGCAACCGCAGCAGCCGUUGAGUGCACCUUUUCUGCCAAGUGGCUUUAUCAAAGGUGACGCAUCUACAACAGCGGGGAACAUAGCCAGCGGCGUUGCAGAGCGAGAUGACUUUUACGCAAUGUUGACAGAGCUGAAACAGGAGGUGGCGGCUGGGCUAGCGGCGGUCAACCGAACCUCACGGCCAGGGCCCCAUCCCUUCACAAUUGUCGAGAGACCUGCAGGGACUCUUCACUCGACCGUCCACGACACCAGCUGCCACUCCCACGCUUCCCCGCAGGCACGCACGUGCGCCACUUCCAUCACCGCUGGGGAGAGCGCUGGCGACCCUACAACAGGUGUCCCUUCCCGUCAGGACACCACACUAGAGACGUCCUCUGUCUCUGCUGUUUCGUGCAAUUUGCAGAGGAAGUCGCCACCACAUGCGCAGCGGAGGCCGCAAGUGGGUGAUUCAGGCGCUGAGACAAGCGUUGUGGUGGACAUGGGGGACACUUCUAUCGACAGCGCCUAUCCUCUAAUUGACUUGCCGCCCUGGACGACAUCCAUGAUCGCGGACGAGGAGGACGGCGUUGCCUCACUGCCGUCUGUGCGCGCCAGUACCCUUCCCCCACUCGCCCCGGCGCAGCGCGGCCUCGAGGAGGCGCUACCCGACACUGCUUAUCCACCACACAUCUCACCAACGCCAGAGGAGUUUGUGCUCGCCAGGGAUGCACCGCUGGAUGACACGUCGAGCGCCGCGAAGUCGGCAGCGGCACGGCGUGACAUGGAGACAUUUGUGCAACAGCUGAAAAUGAAUCGCGAGAAGCUCUUGGAGACCGGCGUGUACUCGGAGGAUGAUCAGGUGGUGAAGGAGAUGGGGGAGAAGAUACGCAUGUACGAGCAGUACUUGGCCCAGCAGCGGCAGUGACAGCUUGGAAGCAUGAAACCGGUAAAGCGGACGUCAUUGAAGAUCAGCAGCCUUUCAGGCGCUGCCAGGCCACCCCCAGCCCAAGAAGUCUACAGGUGCUAUGCCGAAGGAGGCGGCUUUUCAUCGUUGUGUCACUACUCCCUUCCCCCACACACCUCAUGCUGUUGUUCUCUUUUUUUUUUUGGCAUUACGUAAGUGCACGUGGCGUUGCCUGCAGUGCCCGCCUCAUUCCCGCUGAACCCUUUAGACAAGACACUUAG
This 2240-nucleotide unclassified non-coding RNA is filed under the name Leishmania donovani. Its description in RNAcentral is "gene:LdHU3.28.2940(CDS-product:hypothetical_prote in_conserved)". The record is from RNAcentral. Lineage: Eukaryota; Euglenozoa; Kinetoplastea; Trypanosomatida; Trypanosomatidae.